RNAcentral lists this non-coding RNA (23 nucleotides) under Arabidopsis thaliana (thale cress). The record is from RNAcentral. Lineage: Eukaryota; Viridiplantae; Streptophyta; Magnoliopsida; Brassicales; Brassicaceae.
UUGGGCAAUUUACUUUAUACCUA